RNAcentral lists this small RNA (1652 nucleotides) under Histoplasma capsulatum var. duboisii H88. Its description in RNAcentral is "Histoplasma capsulatum H88 hypothetical RNA". Lineage: Eukaryota; Fungi; Ascomycota; Eurotiomycetes; Onygenales; Ajellomycetaceae. The record is from RNAcentral.
AGGCCUUGUUGCUGGUAAGGCGAACGCUGGAUCGCCCUCUUCCAGAAGCGACGUUUUUAAAAUCAACUCCCAUAUAUAUAGCGUUGUUUGCGGUGAACGCUAGCCCCUGGGAUUUUGCGGCAGUUCGAUCAAGAUAGUUGACAUAGCCGUGUGUGGGAUCGUCGCUCUAGUAUAAUAUCAUCGUAAGAAACUAUUCCGAGUCGAUUGCACUCGCUCUGGUGAUUAUUGCCAGCAGGACCCACCGAAAAGAAAUCAAAUUCGCGGAAGAAGUUCGCCGCCGUAUAGUCGUCCACAAGAAUAUAUGCCGCCUGAGAGAAGACAACAAAACUAUUCAAACCAAUAAGAAAAGGUACGGAUAAAUGCAUCUUACGAAUAGGGUAUAAAUAAAGUCUAUCGAAAACUCGAAAAAGUAACAUAUAAUGGAGAAUACUCGAAAUGCUGAUUUCAAGGAAUAUUACACCGGGUAUGCUGCUUUUAUAUCUCCCAAACGGCAAGGUGAUAUAAUAAGCACAAAAGGGCCUGAUCGAAUAAUCAUAUCGCCUUCCCUUGCAAGGUCCAUUUGUAUCCGCGGCGCAUGUUGAAGUCAUCUCAGUAUCCUAGCCCUGUCCUUCAGGGGUAGGCUGGAGAUAAACGCUAAAGGGGAGGAGGAAAACAACCUACUAAUUUAGGAGGUCGGGUUUGUGCCACUGCCGAAAGACCUACACUACAGCAUCGCCUCUGACACCCCUCUUGACGCGCCUAAUAAUAGGGCUACCUAGGGUAAGCUCACUAUGGUUCGUCAAUCUCCAUACGCCCUCUUCUACGCAGUAAGUAUGGUCGACUGCCACAGCCGUCUGAUGCCGGGGUUGUUGGCGAACACGUUAAAACCACCGAGGUCGUGCCAGCCUCAUGGCUGAGGGGCCGUUUCGGGUCAUUUUUUUUACCAGUCGACUUGGCAGCAGACUAUCUAUACCAUGAAUUAGGCUCAGUCUUCAUCCCGGCGUGACAAUACCAUCCCGGACCACUGUAUGUUUCCAGUAAGAGAGUCCGGGCAGCUUAGCUAUCUGGGUCGUUUGAUUGUGUUUAUUUUGCAUGCUCUAAUGUUUUGCGAGGCAAAAGUGAUAUGCGCUGGCCAUGUCCGUGUCUGUGGGUGUGCCCACGCUGUGCAUGAGAUGAGAUGACCAUGAACAUGUCAGCAGGGUAUCGUCACAAUCACUAAAUCAACUCCGGAUUUCCUUCAUGCUGGUGUGGGCUCGUGCUAUUUUUAUGAUGACUAAAUGUCUACGGAAAUUAGGUGUGGACCGUGAGCUUUAGUCUUCUUAUCACGGUUUUUAUCUUAGCAAUGAAGAUGCAGAGAUAUGAAUUAGCCGACUCUAGAGAAUCGCCAGGUAUGGGGAUACAAAUACAAUCAACAAAUUUUAAAUCGAACUGCAUUUAAGCUCUCCCAACGCGGAAGCGUCUAAUUUUCUUUUCCACAUUGGCGAACGGAGAAACUAUGCUUGAGCCAUGGGUACAUUUGGAACCCCUGCAGUAUGUGGCUUAUUAGCUGUCCUGUCCCUGGCUACAGCUACAGGGAUAAACGGAUAAAUAUAGUCCUCUGGAACAUUUAGUUAUAUUAAGUUACCGGCCACUUCUCCACCAAGCGAAGGAGAGUGAGAUAAGACUGAAGAGGC